This 274-nucleotide ribosomal RNA is filed under the name uncultured bacterium. Its description in RNAcentral is "partial 16S ribosomal RNA". It matches the Rfam family "Bacterial small subunit ribosomal RNA", at positions 523 to 796 of the family's 1533-position model. The record is from RNAcentral.
AUACAGAGGGUGUGAGCGUUAAUCGGAUUUACUGGGCGUAAAGCGUGCGUAGGCGGCUUCUUAAGUCGGAUGUGAAAUCCCUGAGCUUAACUUAGGAAUUGCAUUCGAUACUGGGAAGCUUGAGUAUGGGAGAGGAUGGUAGAAUUCCAGGUGUAGCGGUGAAAUGCGUAGAGAUCUGGAGGAAUACCGAUGGCGAAGGCAGCCAUCUGGCCUAAUACUGACGCUGAGGUACGAAAGCAUGGGGAGCAAACAGGAUUAGAAACCCUAGUAGUCC